CGAUGAAACUUUAACAGAACCCUUCGGGGCGAAGAUAAAGUGGAUUAGCGGCGGACGGGUGAGUAACACGUGAGUAACCUGCCUUAGACAUUGGGAUAGCCUCGGGAAACCGGGAUUAAUACCAAAUAAAAUCAUAAUGACACAUGUCAUAACGAUCAAAACUCCGGUGGUCUAAGAUGGACUCGCGUCCCAUUAGCUAGUUGGUAGAGUAAAAGCCUACCAAGGCGACGAUGGGUAGCCGGCCUGAGAGGGUGAACGGCCACAUUGGAACUGAGAAACGGUCCAAACUUCUACGGGAGGCAGCAGUGGGGAAUAUUGCACAAUGGAGGGAACUCUGAUGCAGCGACGCCGCGUGAACGAAGAAGGCUUUCGAGUCGUAAAGUUCUUUUAUAUGGGAAGAUAAUGACGGUACCAUAAGAAAAAGCCCCGGCUAACUACGUGCCAGCAGCCGCGGUAAUACGUAGGGGGCUAGCGUUGUCCGGAAUCACUGGGCGUAAAGGGUUCGCAGGCGGAAAUGCAAGUCAGAUGUAAAAGGCAGUAGCUUAACUACUGUAAGCAUUUGAAACUGCAUAUCUUGAGAAGAGUAGAGGUAAGUGGAUUCUUAGUGUAGCGGUGAAAUGCGUAGAUAUUAAAAAGAAUACCGGUGGCGAAGGCGACUUA
This 660-nucleotide ribosomal RNA is filed under the name uncultured Eubacteriales bacterium. RNAcentral's name for it is "bacterial SSU rRNA". It matches the Rfam family "Bacterial small subunit ribosomal RNA", at positions 54 to 728 of the family's 1533-position model. The record is from RNAcentral. Lineage: Bacteria; Bacillati; Bacillota; Clostridia; Eubacteriales.